Molecule: non-coding RNA, 459 nt
Organism: Pelobates cultripes (western spadefoot toad)
Lineage: Eukaryota; Metazoa; Chordata; Amphibia; Anura; Pelobatidae
Source: the annotation of a GenBank genome assembly
AAUUAAGGCAGCAUUUUGCCCUUCAGACCUCAAAAGUCCUGUUCCAGUAAGCAGGUGGGGAUGUUAGGGGUUUAAUUAUUUAGGAAUACCUUGGCCUGUAUACAUUCUAAUACAUUUACUCAUGUUUGGUAUAGGACUCUCCUCCCCCCUAUACCUUACUCAGUGGGAGUCACAGAGUCUGUGUCAAGUUACGACUAUAUUUCUGACUUAAACACACACGCAAAGUGGGUUUCACGUACGUUUUGCCUAUUUAUCCCCACAACGUCCCUCCACCCCUGCCUCAAUUUUAGGUUAACUGGCUGGAUAGGGUCUUGAGGGCCACUAGUAGUAGCAUUUUCUGGCUUCUUCACCUCAUUGUACAGUGGUCCCACAAAGCCAACAACCAUCCUCCACGCUUGAGGUAAAAAUUCACCCCUCGGGCCAAAUCAUAGAUAGCCGCCUUACACGGUUACUGUCACG